UACGCGGGGUGCGAGCGUUGUUCGGAUUUACUGGGCGUAAAGGGCGCGUAGGCGGCGCAACAAGUCACUUGUGAAAUCUCCGGGCUUAACCCGGAGCGGCCAAGUGAUACUGUCGUGCUAGAGUGCGGAAGGGGCUACUGGAAUUCUCGGUGUAGCGGUGAAAUGCGUAGAUAUCGAGAGGAACACCUGCGGCGAAGGCGGGUAGCUGGGCCGACACUGACGCUGAGGCGCGAAAGCCAGGGGAGCGAACGGG
RNAcentral lists this ribosomal RNA (253 nucleotides) under uncultured bacterium. RNAcentral describes it as "partial 16S ribosomal RNA". It matches the Rfam family "Bacterial small subunit ribosomal RNA", at positions 524 to 776 of the family's 1533-position model. The record is from RNAcentral.